UAGGGAAUAUUGGUCAAUGGAUGCAAGUCUGAACCAGCCAUGCCGCGUGCAGGAAGAAGGCCUUCUGGGUUGUAAACUGCUUUUGCCAGGGRAUAAAAUAMCSAUGCGUCGUUAAUUGAAGGUACCUGGUGAAUAAGCCACGGCUAACUACGUGCCAGCAGCCGCGGUAAUACGUAGGKGGCAAGCGUUGUCCGGAUUUAUUGGGUUUAAAGGGUGCGUAGGNGGBCYUDUAAGUCAGUGSUGAAAUAUCCCGGCUUAACCGGGAGGGUGGCAUUGAUACUGHWGGWCUUGARUAAAGUUGAGGUARGCGGAAUUGACSGUGUAGCGGUGAAAUGCUUAGAUAUCGUCAAGAACACCUAUUGCGAAGGCAGCUUACUAARCUUUAACUGACACUGAGGCACGAAAGUGUGGGGAUCAAACAGGAUUAGAUACCCUGGUAGUCCACACUGUAAACGUUGAAKACUCGAUGUUAGCGAUACACUGUUAGCGUCUGAGAGAAAUCGUUAAGUCUUCCACCUGGGGAGUACGCCGGCAACGGUG
RNAcentral lists this ribosomal RNA (540 nucleotides) under uncultured bacterium. RNAcentral's name for it is "partial 16S ribosomal RNA". It matches the Rfam family "Bacterial small subunit ribosomal RNA", at positions 355 to 896 of the family's 1533-position model. The record is from RNAcentral.